GGCGCUAUAGCCAAGUGGUUACGGCGACAGAUUAGAACUUUAUUUGGAUCUAUCUGUUGGGGUUUCCCCGCGCAGGUUCGAAUCCUGCUGGCGUCG
Molecule: non-coding RNA, 96 nt
Organism: Vararia minispora EC-137
Lineage: Eukaryota; Fungi; Basidiomycota; Agaricomycetes; Russulales; Lachnocladiaceae
Source: the annotation of a GenBank genome assembly